UUAAAGCAAAGAGUUUGAUCCUGGCUCAGAAUGAACGCUAGCGAUAUGCUUAACACAUGCAAGUCUAACAUUGUUUGUCUGAUGGACCAAACAAGGUGGCGAACGGGUGCGUAACACGUGGGAAUCUACCAAGUAAUUUGGUUAAAUACCAAAUAAAAUAAUCAAAGCUCAAAAGCGUUACUUGAUGAGCCCGCGCAGUAUUAGGUAGUUGGUUAGGUAAAGGCUGACCAAGCCUACGAUGCUUAGCUGGUCUUUUCGGAUGAUCAGCCACACUGGGACUGAGACACGGCCCAGACUCCUAUGGGAGGCAGCAGUGAGGAAUCUUGGACAAUGGGCGAAAGCCUGAUCCAGCAAUAUCGCGUGAGUGAAGAAGGGGGAUUUCCUCGUAAAGCUCUUUCGUUGAAAUUUCAAACAAAAAUGAGAAAUUCAAAAAAGAAGCCCCGGCUAACUCUGUGCCAGCAGCCGCGGUAAGACAGGGGGGGCAAGUGUUAUUCGGAAUAAUUAGGCGUAAAGGGUACGUAGGCGGUAAAUACGAUUUCAGGUGAAAGUCAUCAGCUUAACUGAUGAAAUGCGUGAGUAAUCGCUUUACUAGAGUAAGAAAGAGGAGAGUGGAAUUUCGUAAGGAGAGCUAAAAUUCAUAGAUAUACGAAGGAACACCAAGGGCGAAGGCAACUCUCUGGGUCUAUACUGACGCUGAGGUACGAAAGCAUGGGGAGCAAACAGGAUUAGAUACCCUGGUAGUCCAUGCCGUAAACGAUGAGAAUUCGUGCUUGGGUCCAAACGACUCUGGCGCUUAGCUAACGCGUUAAAUUCUCCGCCUGGGGAGUACGAUCGCAAGAUUGAAACUCAAAGGAAUUGACGGGGGCCUGCACAAGCGGUGGAGCAUGUGGUUUAAUUCGAUACAACGCGCAAAACCUUACCAGUCCUUGACAUAUGAGAAUAAUUUUUCGGGUUAUGCUGAAAAAUCAAUUUCAUACAGGUGCUGCAUGGCUGUCGUCAGCUCGUGUCGUGAGAUGUUGGGUUAAGUCCUAUAACGAGCGCAACCCUCGUGUUGUGUUGAUUUUCGCAACAGACUGCCUGUGAUAUACAGGAGGAAGGUGGGGAUGACGUCAAGUCCUCAUGGCCCUUAUGGGCUGGGCUACACACGUGCUACAAUGGCAAUUACAGAAGGAAGCAAUACUGUGAAGUGGAGCGAAUCCCUAAAGAUUGCCUCAGUUCGGAUUGUUCUCUGCAACUCGAGAACAUGAAGUUGGAAUCGCUAGUAAUCGCGGAUCAGCAUGCCGCGGUGAAUACGUUCUCAGGCCUUGUACACACCGCCCGUCACACCCUGGGAAUGAAUUUUAUCUAAAGUAGUGGAAAAUAUCCAAUCAUGAUUUUGUUUUAAACAACUUCAUUCUUGGUAAUAUUAGUACACUGCGUCGGUGGAGUUCGUAACUGAGGUGAAGUCGUAACAAGGUAGCCGUAGGGGAACCUGCGGCUGGAU
This 1483-nucleotide ribosomal RNA is filed under the name Chaetosphaeridium globosum. Its description in RNAcentral is "16S ribosomal RNA". It matches the Rfam family "Bacterial small subunit ribosomal RNA". Lineage: Eukaryota; Viridiplantae; Streptophyta; Coleochaetophyceae; Coleochaetales; Chaetosphaeridiaceae. The record is from RNAcentral.